This 493-nucleotide ribosomal RNA is filed under the name uncultured bacterium. Its description in RNAcentral is "partial 16S ribosomal RNA". It matches the Rfam family "Bacterial small subunit ribosomal RNA", at positions 29 to 523 of the family's 1533-position model. The record is from RNAcentral.
AUUGAACGCUGGCGGCAUGCUUUACACAUGCAAGUCGAACGGUAACAGGUUAAGCUGACGAGUGGCGAACGGGUGAGUAAUGCAUCGGAACGUGCCCGGUCGUGGGGGAUAACGCAGCGAAAGUUGCGCUAAUACCGCAUACGAUCUGAGGAUGAAAGCGGGGGACCGUAAGGCCUCGCGCGAUCGGAGCGGCCGAUGUCAGAUUAGGUAGUUGGUGGGGUAAAGGCUCACCAAGCCAACGAUCUGUAGCUGGUCUGAGAGGACGACCAGCCACACUGGGACUGGGACACGGCCCAGACUCCUACGGGAGGCAGCAGUGGGGAAUUUUGGACAAUGGGCGAAAGCCUGAUCCAGCAAUGCCGCGUGCAGGAAGAAGGCCUUCGGGUUGUAAACUGCUUUUGUACGGAGCGAAAAGGUCUCCUCUAAUACAGGGGGCUCAUGACGGUACCGUAAGAAUAAGCACCGGCUGACUACGUGCCAGCAGCCGCCGUAA